This 372-nucleotide ribosomal RNA is filed under the name uncultured organism. RNAcentral describes it as "partial 16S ribosomal RNA". It matches the Rfam family "Bacterial small subunit ribosomal RNA", at positions 527 to 896 of the family's 1533-position model. The record is from RNAcentral.
GUAGGUGGCAAGCGUUGUCCGGAAUUAUUGGGCGUAAAGCGCGCGCAGGCGGUCCUUUAAGUCUGAUGUGAAAGCCCACGGCUCAACCGUGGAGGGUCAUUGGAAACUGGGGGACUUGAGUACAGAAGAGGAAAGCGGAAUUCCAAGUGUAGCGGUGAAAUGCGUAGAGAUUUGGAGGAACACCAGUGGCGAAGGCGGCUUUCUGGUCUGUAACUGACGCUGAGGCGCGAAAGCGUGGGGAGCAAACAGGGAUUAGAUACCCUGGUAGUCCACGCCGUAAACGAUGAGUGCUAAGUGUUAGGGGGUUUCCCGCCCCUUAGUGCUGCAGCUAACGCAUUAAGCACUCCGCCUGGGGAUACGGCCGCAAGGCUG